RNAcentral lists this ribosomal RNA (369 nucleotides) under uncultured eukaryote. RNAcentral's name for it is "partial 18S ribosomal RNA". It matches the Rfam family "Eukaryotic small subunit ribosomal RNA", at positions 592 to 976 of the family's 1831-position model. The record is from RNAcentral.
CAAUAGCGUAUAUUAAAGUUGUUGCAGUUAAAAAGCUCGUAGUUGAACUUUGGGCCUGGCAGGCCGGUCCGCUUUUUGGCGAGUACUGACCCUGCCGGGCCUUUCCUUCUGGCUAACCUCCCCUCUGGAGAGGCGAACCAGGACUUUUACUUUGAAAAAAUUAGAGUGUUCAAAGCAGGCCUUUGCUCGAAUAUAUUAGCAUGGAAUAAUAGAAUAGGACGUUUGGUUCUAUUUUGUUGGUUUCUAGGACCAUCGUAAUGAUUAAUAGGGACGGUCGGGGGCAUCAGUAUUCAGUUGUCAGAGGUGAAAUUCUUGGAUUUACUGAAGACUAACUACUGCGAAAGCAUUUGCCAAGGACGUUUUCAUUAA